UACGAAGGGGGCUAGCGUUGCUCGGAAUCACUGGGCCUAAAGCGCACGUAGGCGGCUUUCUAAGUCAGGGGUGAAAUCCUGGAGCUCAACUCCAGAACUGCCUUUGAUACUGGGAAGCUCGAGUCCGGAAGAGGUGAGUGGAACUCCGAGUGUAGAGGUGAAAUUCGUAGAUAUUCGCAAGAACACCAGUGGCGAAGGCGGCUCACUGGCCCGAUACUGACGCUGAUGCACGAAAGCGUGGGGAUCAAACAGG
This 253-nucleotide ribosomal RNA is filed under the name uncultured bacterium. RNAcentral describes it as "partial 16S ribosomal RNA". It matches the Rfam family "Bacterial small subunit ribosomal RNA", at positions 524 to 776 of the family's 1533-position model. The record is from RNAcentral.